AAUUUUAUCAGUUUAAUAAAAAAAAUUAAAUAUAUAUACAUAUAAUUGAUGUACACGUGUACAUUAUUUGAAGAAUGUAGACAUUUGGUAAAUCUUUGUUUUGUUUAUUUAUGCCAUGUAAAAUUUAUUUUAUUUUAUUUGUCGAACACAACAAAUUAAAUUUUCAUAUAAUUUUCUUUUAAUUAAAUUUUUAUAACUUUAAUUUUUUAUUAACCCGAGUUACGUCGGUAAGUGCGCAAUCGUAAACGACGUGCGACGUGCGAUAAUAGUACCGAUCGUGGGACAUGAAAUAAAAUACAGGUUUUUGUUUCGAGAUGUCACUGUCGACGCGAUAUUUGAAUCAUUAGUUCUUUGAUACAACGCGCGUCCGGAAUGAAGGUCUUUUCAACAGUUUAGCUGUGUGCUCUCUGUACUGCACCAAUAUUGUACUUUGUUGAAAUGAGAUGGAUACACGAUUACAUGCGAAGACGAACGCGACGUAUUUGUCGGCGGAUAUGGCGGGUCUUUCAUCGUCUUCCUCUCCUCUCGCCUCCUCUCAACGUGCUGUCGUCGCCGUCGUCUACGGAGUGAUACACCCUCUCGUCGGAAGUGGAAACCUCGUCGUCAGAAGGAAGCCGACGCUCAGGAUUAUCACGAGUCUCCUACGAAUGGAUUGUUGAUCGGAUGACGACAGAUGGUGAGUGAAUUUAUUCAUCGUUAUCUGCAUGACUAUUUUUCUUUUUAUUUUGUGCUUUUAUUUAAGAGCAAAGCGUCCAUGAUAAACGCAUGUGGAGAAAACAAAUUCUGGCGAUUAAUGUCGUUAUAACUCUAAAAUUUUAACACAAAUAAUUUUUUAAUAUUAUUGAAAUGGAAGUAAUACUGAAAAUAAUCAAAAUAUAGACAAUAAAUGUGACACGACGUAAUAUUUGUAAUAAUUGUACGGUAAUACUUUAGAAAUUGUAUAACUAAAAUGAUUACGAGGAAGAAUUCUCGUUAAUUAACGCGCUGAACAUUGACGCAUUGCUCAAAGGUGUCUGAACUUUUCUAUCUUUGUACCUCUCGUAUUUUCGCGCACCGAGAAAUGUGUUGUUCACACCCAGUAUAUCCGCUCGCAAAACGCGACAGACUUCGUUACUUCGCGGUGGUUCAUAAUUAGGCCAUCGAGCCUAUUAAAAGUUAGGCGGGCUUGUUAAGCACGCGGCGCGACUAUUUCUGGAGCUAAGAGCCGUAUACUUACAUCGAUCGACACGUGUUUCGUCGGGCGGACGAAGUAAUCACACGCUCAACUUACGCGCACUUGUUAAAAGGUGAUUAGCAUCGCCAAGAGAAGAAAAUUGUUGUUUAAACCGUUUAGUUUCUAUAUAUACUUACUCGGAGAUGAGCCCCAAAGAUUACUCUUUAUCUUGACACUCAUUUAAAAAUUCUGGAGGCAGACAGAAGUACACUGCAAGAGAGGGAGAGAGAUUAUUUCAUAACAUUUUAUAAACGUAAUAUAUAAAAUUCCAGAGAUAAUGCAGUCGCCCAUUUCUCUAAUUUCGGAAAAUUUUUAUUCUAGCGAUGUAAAGAGGUCUCUGCUCUUUUGUGAAUAAAGUGUUAAAACUUAGCAAUUAGAGAAGAUUUUUACAAAGGAACGUAAAGUAAUUUCGUAUACUCGCGCAUACAAAAUUAAUCAUUUAUACGAAAUACAAGCGCUUAGUUUGUAGGACACAACUUACAAUUUCGAAGUAAUUGAAUUACAAAGUUUCCCAAGCUAACCAGAAGAUUUUAGCUUUUAGUCACGACUGAGGAGAACGACUUAUUUAGAUGUAAUUUAAAUUCCGCGACGCGAUAUUAUAUUGGUUCUUAGAGAAAAUCAGCGUGCAAUUACGAUAAUAGAGUUCAAUUUAUUUUGUGACGUCACGGACGAAUGGUGAAUGAUUCUUCACAGUUUGGGAAACUAAUAAUUUGUAAGUUUCGAGGAGGAAAAGUCGAGAUUAUCCACGGCACUCGUACAUAGAGUAUUGGGAAAAUUCUGUCGAGUCCGCGCGCGUUGUCGCUGUCAGCACGACGCGGUCAAAGGUGCCACGCUCACGGUAAAAACCGCGAACGCUUCGCUGUAAACCAGAGGCAAAUAGAAAAAAGAGAGGAAAAAAAAUAUAUAUAUAUUUAUAUAGAUCGGAGAAUAAAAGCGGAAAAAGGAGCAGCCGCGCAUCGGUUGCGGCCGAUUCGGCUGGCGCUCAUGGCGAUAGCCAUUGGCGAUAAGGACUUCAUUGUCUCGCUGUCGAAUCGAAAAACGGACGAACGCGCGCUCCAACAGGGGCGGGAAGAGAAGGGAAGAGAAAAAAAACAGAGCAGAGGAAGGAAAAUCGGAACGGGGGUGGCGACAAAGCGGCCAAUGCUCAACGGAUGCGAAUUUUUCGGCGCGUCUGCGUGCGUGCGGACGCGAAAAAUGCGCAAUCUGCAAAGUGAGCUGAAAGCGAGCGUCGUCAGUCUCAGAUAAACGGCGCGCGUACGAACCAUAACGCCAUUCGUUGUCCGAAAACGUUUGUCACGGCGGUUGGAGUACCGGGAUUUUCGUAAACAAUUGGAGAAAGAGAGAGAGAGAGAGAGAGUUAGAAAAAGCGGACACGUAAAAUAUUAGAUAAUUUCUCUCGCAAACGUAGAUUUAACGAUCUUUGUUGCUUAAAACUUUUUGCCCGAGAUCAAUUUUGCCUGGUGCGUUUACUCGCGCUCGACAACUGAAUCGAGGAACUUGUACUUUAUUCGAUAUUUAAUUAAAUUCGUGUAAUUCCCUCGUUUAAAAGGCAUCAACGCCUUGAUUCGCGGUAGUAUUUAUAAUCAGGUGACGACCAGGCCACAGGUGAAACGAAGACGAUCCUUGGGCGAAAGGCCCUGUUAGAUUUUAAUUUGUCUCGGCUGAUUGAAUCUCGAAAUUGGAAAUAAUUAUUCGAACACACGAAUGAGUGCGAUACGGUUUACCUGGUAUCGUCAGAUCGCGACGACGUCGACGUCGACGUCGACGGUAUCGCGGCGGAUAAAGUAUCGGCGCGCCAUCGAUCUCUCCAGCCGCCAGUUUCCUACACUCGCAAUUUCCGACUAGCUACAACAGUCACCUAACCGGAUCAAUUUUUCAUUCAAAGAUAAAUUGGGGACGGGGACGUGAAGCCUGGUAGCCGACCGCCUUGCGUGACAGCGGUUCGAAAAGCGCGACGAGGCGUGAACGCGGUUUAGCGCGCUACUAGUUUGGCUCGCUCGGCGGAUGUCUGCGUAAAUUAUUGGAUUCCGGGCAGCUGAUCAGGAUAAUGGUGACACUUUGUAGUUUCUAUCUUUAUCCCUUGUACAAAUCGAUGUGGUUAAGCGACCCGUAGCGGCUUACAAACUAUUUUCAAGCUAAAUUAGUCACUAAAUGAUAUUUCCAAUAAUCAUGACUCUCGGAGUCGUUAACUUUUCCCGUGACAGAAAUCAUUAUAAUUUUUAAAUAACUUUCUAGAUAUAUAAAAUAUUUGUGUGCGAAAAUGUUCAGUUGCCGUUGAUAAUCUUGCAAUAAUUAUCGAUAUUAUAAUUAGAAAGUCGAACAUUACUUUUUUAUUCGCUGACUUUUUAUUUCUUACGAUUAUGACUUUAUGGCUUUACGAGUAUUUAUUAUGAAUAUUAUACGGAUAUUUUCUCUGUUUAUAUUUAAUGAUAUGGCGCUAGCCAAAUAUACAAAAUAAUUUAGUAAGUCGUAAAGUGAGUUGAUGUGUCGUUGAACUGUAAUUCGUUGAACAUGUACAAUUGAGUGAAAAAAGUCAUAUUACUUGGAAUAGAAAAACUGGUUACUAUGGAUCUUAUCUCGAUAUAAUUUCUGUGCUAACGGAGAGAGGUAUACGGGAAUAAAUAGCGUUAAUUUCUCACUUUUUGGCGUAAAAUUGCGCGAUACGGCCAUUUCCUCGUAUUCGGGGAGCUUGUAACCGGCGAGAAGGGCGGAAGGAAGGGAACGUGGUGGAUGGAGGCGCAGCAGGCCACCCGGUAACUUGGAAGCCAUAUUAAUAGUCGGCACUUAAGAGUUUCAUUAAGUCGCGACCGCUCGAUCACUGCCUACACCGCGUCGCUCUCCCACCGGCAACUUUCAGGCCCCAUAACCGCCAUCUCUGCUUUCAGGCUACCCCUCACUCCCUUCCUUUAGCUAAAGUUACUUCCCGCAUGUCUAGAAGUCGCGUACGUAAGCCAGGGUUCUGUCAAUUCUGACGUAUUACAUUUUUCAGCUAGCUAAUUACGAACGAAUAGGAGGUAUUUCUUACUGUUGUGUCUUGUGUGAUGUUUCGUGAAUGGCAUGCGUUUAUUCGUUUCUUCUUUGAGAUUAAGAAGUUUUUUUUUGUAUGAAAUAAUCUCUGAUGUUGUAUAUUUCUUUAAAGACUGAUGAUAUUGGAUUGUAUUAGCAAAACUUGAAUCUUUGAGAAGAAUAUUUUGAAACAAAUAUGUGCGAAAUAUAUUUAUGACACAGAGGAAGCAAUUUAUUUAUAUACUAGGAAAUAUUUUACGUGUAUAUAAGUAGCUUUGUUAAUUAAGAUAUAUUGGAUAGGGGGUAACUUCAAUUCUAUUCGCUUCGUCUAGUUAUAAGUUUAUAAUUUUGUGAUAAUAAUUUACAUUAAUGUCGUAUAAAUUCUGUUCAAAUAAAGUUUUCAUUAGCAUUUACUAACAUCGUGCCAUAUUUGUCAACGCGAACGCGAGCGCGCGCGCACGACAUGUAAUUCCCGUAGAUAAAUGUCAGCGUUGAAGCAUCGCGUAAUGUGAACCGCGAUAUUUAUCGUAUGAAAAUAUUACGAAGGGUGUAAACUUCUUCGUUAAAGUCAGAGCUUGUCCUAAUAUCGUCAGUCGACGGAUCCUCAAGUUUUCCUUAAUUAAGCUUUGAUUUAACCUUUCAAUAAAAUUGUGUUUAUAACUGUGUUUGAUUAUAAUUUAUUUUCUUUUAUUGGAUAUUUUAUAAUAAUACUACAAAUUAUUUAUAACAACGCGCGCGUACUACAACAUAAAUUAUUGUAAUGCAAAAUUGUCUAACGGAUCUUAAUUAUGCAAAAAGAUUUCUUUAGCACGAAAGAAAAAAACGAAUACUUCGUAAAAGAUAUCGUCGUUCUAAAUUUAAUUACGCCAUUAAUUUUUCGCUAAUAAAAAGACAAAAAUAUUAAACUGCCGUUGCACAAGUAGUAGGUAUAAUUGAUAUGCGAGCAACGGCAUUCAUAAAGUUCUACUUUUAUUAAAGAUAACAAUAGUUCAUUCCGCGUGGCAAAUGCGAAACGGAGCUGAAAGGUGUGUACGGGUGUAAUUGUCAUUCAUAGAGCCAUAAGGCUGGCGACGCGAUCUGCACUUUAUUUUUCUUUUUACGCCGGAUAGGGCGCAAUUUACCUUCCCAUUCACGCGCACUUAUCGCGCCUCUAAAGGAUAUCUUGAGGCAAUUAGCCGAGCGGAGAAGGUAAAUGGGAGUAUAGUGGCGCAGCUUGGUAGCAAUUGCGGCGGCAGUUCCUCGGCUGCGUAUUAAUUAGCGUUUCCCGCACAUUUGGCGGAAUUAUCCGUCGCGAUCGGCCGCACUAGCGAACGGAUUAUUUGUCAUCGGUGGGAGCCACGCGAAAACGCCUAAUCGCUUUCGACACUGUUUCGCAAAGUAUACCACAGUCAGUGUAAACAAUUACUGAUAUCUCCCGUGGCAGAAAAAAAACGUGGCGCGGGGUGCACGAGCGAAGAGAAUGGACCAACCGCAAAACACCCUGGGCUGUAUUUGCAGCACGCGCAUCUCCGUCGUCACCAUCGCCUCUUCUACCACUUUUACGCGAGAAUUUAUGACCCUCCGUACGCCAGUGAUUGAGAUGGGCGUAUCUAAUGGCGCGGCUGUCCGCACCGACGAUCUAUGCGAACCGAUUCCCGGCUGCAGCCCUCUCUCUUCUUUACUCCUUUCUCUCUCUCGUUUUCUAUCUCGUUCUCGGUCUCCUCUACGUUUCUUUUGUCGGCCCGUCUCUCCUUUCUUCCUUCCCGUAAGCGAACGCAGAUAAAGGGAAAAAGCAACGAAGGUGCGGCGCGGUUCGCAAACGCCAGCUUGAUUUAGUCUGUCUAUCCGGUAAAUAAAACUAAGUUAUCACGCGCAGGGGAACUAUCGAAGGGUGCAGGUAGUUCGUAGAUAUUCCGAGCGACUUUGCGUCGUUGAUUUCACGACGCAAGUCGCGAUGUUUUAACAGCAGUCCGAUGAUCUUGAUUCGAGAUCUGCGAAUUUGGCACGAUUGUAUUGUAUCUCGUAUCUCUAAUUUACUGAAACAUCGCGUAUCGAAUCUAUGUUCGGUUGGUCCCGAUAACGCGCGCAAACGCAUUUUGGUCGCCAAUUUCACGAUUGCUUUCGCUUAUGAUAAUUGUGGGUGGUAAUUACGAUAACCGUUAAUAGAGCCCCUCCCGGGACGCGUUCGAUAUCACUUCUCUCUCGUAAAAAUCGCGUGUAUGUUUUUUUUUGCAUGUGAAUUACGAGCGGAGGCGAAACAAUGUUACCGCAGAAUUUCGUAAUGGUACACAAGGAACGUGCAAUUUGCCACGAUAACAGUUGUUCGGCUCGUGUAGCUUUCACCGGUCGGGCCGUGGGCAGGUAGCAGAAUCCGACCAGGCAUGCAUGACAGUAUUGUCUUGCGGUAACGAAAUUUCAUUAUUCGUGUGGGUUGCCGCGUGCACACACGCUCGGCAACGCGGCUUUGUGCCGCGCGAACAAAGAUAACGCUGAUGUCCGCUGUCCGCUGUCUCAUCUAUAGGAGUAAUCGUAAAUAAAGUCGGCGGCGCGGCGUGAGAAUAACGCGGUCGCGGUUUUUCCCCGCGCGAAAUGGAAGAUAUCAGUUUUUUCCGGCUUGCAUUACACGCUGCAUUAGGUCGGAUCUACAAUAGGUGUAGUAAGCCUUAAGCCAUGAAGAAUUAACUAAUAAAAUAUAUUCGAUUAUUCUUUC
This is a long non-coding RNA of Monomorium pharaonis (pharaoh ant), 6908 nucleotides long. RefSeq lists it as uncharacterized. The record is from RefSeq and is a predicted model, not a curated record. The transcript is spliced from 3 exons. Lineage: Eukaryota; Metazoa; Arthropoda; Insecta; Hymenoptera; Formicidae.